RNAcentral lists this ribosomal RNA (253 nucleotides) under uncultured bacterium. RNAcentral's name for it is "partial 16S ribosomal RNA". It matches the Rfam family "Bacterial small subunit ribosomal RNA", at positions 524 to 776 of the family's 1533-position model. The record is from RNAcentral.
GACAGAGGGUGCAAACGUUGUUCGGAAUUACUGGGCGUAAAGCGCGUGUAGGCGGCCCUGCAAGUCGGAUGUGAAAUCCCACGGCUCAACCAUGGAAGUGCAUUCGAAACUGCAGAGCUAGAGUCCUGGAGAGGAAGGUGGAAUGCUUGGUGUAGAGGUGAAAUUCGUAGAUAUCAAGCGGAACACCGGUGGCGAAGGCGGCCUUCUGGACAGUGACUGACGCUGAGGAGCGAAAGCGUGGGGAGCGAACAGG